UACGUAGGGGGCAAGCGUUGUCCGGAAUCAUUGGGCGUAAAGCGCGUGUAGGCGGCUCGGUAAGUCUGCUGUGAAAGUCCAGGGCUCAACCCUGGGAUGCCGGUGGAUACUGUCGAGCUCGAGUCCGGAAGAGGCGAGUGGAAUUCCUGGUGUAGCGGUGAAAUGCGCAGAUAUCAGGAGGAACACCAAUGGCGAAGGCAGCUCGCUGGGACGGUACUGACGCUGGAGACGCGAAAGCGUGGGGAGCAAACAGG
This 254-nucleotide ribosomal RNA is filed under the name uncultured bacterium. RNAcentral's name for it is "partial 16S ribosomal RNA". It matches the Rfam family "Bacterial small subunit ribosomal RNA", at positions 524 to 776 of the family's 1533-position model. The record is from RNAcentral.